RNAcentral lists this transfer RNA (61 nucleotides) under Marmota marmota marmota (Alpine marmot). It matches the Rfam family "tRNA", at positions 6 to 65 of the family's 71-position model. From Rfam's summary of the family: Transfer RNA (tRNA) molecules are approximately 80 nucleotides in length. RNAcentral also lists the same sequence under 3 other names. Lineage: Eukaryota; Metazoa; Chordata; Mammalia; Rodentia; Sciuridae. The record is from Rfam by way of RNAcentral.
UGUAGCUCAGUGGUAGAGCACUUGCCUAGAAUGUAUGGGGCCCUGGUUUCAAUUCCCAGUA